Camelus dromedarius (Arabian camel) is the source of this 1923-nucleotide long non-coding RNA. RefSeq lists it as uncharacterized. NCBI's taxonomy places the organism in Eukaryota, Metazoa, Chordata, Mammalia, Artiodactyla, Camelidae. The record is from RefSeq and is a predicted model, not a curated record. The transcript is spliced from 3 exons.
UUGUCUUCCAGCUUCACACCAUUGGCCAGGAGGGUAUUGGCAAACCGCUUCUCCCACUGCAGCUGCCCCUGGGCAGCGGGGUCGGCUGGAAGGAAGGAGAAAAAGAGGGCGGGGUAAGUCAGUGUGACCCUGUCAGUUCCACUCUCCACAUCCUGGCCCUCAAGUUCUGCCCACCCCCCACAUCCGGUUCCUGUCCCCUCUGUUUGUCUUCCCACAUCCCAUCUGGCCAUGAGGUUCUGAGUCUCCCCCUCAAGUGCUAGGUAUCCUCCACCCUCUCCUUGAGCUCAGUGAGUCCUUCUCACACUGUCUCCCGGGUCUGUCUAUCCUCAACCUGGGUUCAGCCCCCAAACCCUAUCCCUCCCCGUCCCAUCUGCUUCUUCAGCCCCCAGGAACAGCCUCAGAACUCUUACCUACAACAUGGGCGACAGGCUUAUCUCUUGAGGCUUGAGAAGAUGAUCCUGAAGAGGAAAGAAGAAAGAAGAAGAUUUUUCUACAGAGCAAAGGCUCCAAAGAAUACGCUACUGGGGCUGAGGAGCAGGUGGGAGAUGCCGUCUGUGUGAGUGGAUAGCUGGUCUCCCCGGGAUCUCUUCCUCAACCUCAGAAGGAGAUGUUUAUCUGGAAGGCCAAGAUUGGGCUGCCCAGAGACAAGCCCAGGUUUGUUUCUGCCCCAGGAUGGGGCAGAAGCUGGAUGGAGGGAACUGAGAAUGGGGCUCUAGAGGAGGAGACACAGGACUGAGAAGGCAGAGAGGAGAGAUGGCCUCGGGUGUGGAUCCCUGAUUGCCCAAGAACAGACAACCCAGGUUACAUAAUUUGGCUCUUUCCACCUCCUUCCCCUGCUCCUAACUUUAGCAACCAAAAUUCCACUCCCCAACAGGGCUCUUCCUCCAUCCAUCCUGCUUCUAUCCCUCAUCCUCCCAUAGCCUCCUCAUGGUCCUCCAGCUCCAGCUGCCCCCAAUUCAGAUCAUUCAGUGACUCAGCAAAGGGAAAGCCCUGUGUUGGGGGACGGGGGUGUUAAGUGGGGAGGAGGAUGUGGUUCUGGUUGGGGAGCUGAGGAGGGGAGGGAAACUGCUUUUGUUCCCCUUUUUGCCUCCGUUCACAUCUAUUUCUCCAACCACUGACUAAAGAGCGGAGAGGAGCCCAGCAUAGGGAGUGGAGAGACCAGAGGGCAAACUGGGCCUUCUUAGGGCUGCCCUUGUGGGAAGGCAGGCAGGCGGGCAAACAGGGAGCUUCUAGUUUCCAGCUGAGGGCACGAGUUAGUGUGUGCAUGCAUGGUGCAGGUGUGUAGGAGCUGUGGGUUUGGCAGGCGGAGCGGGAAAGGAGAUGUCAUGGGUGAUGAAAACCACAGCAAUGGAAAAAGGCAGAGGAGACACCAGGAGUGAGAUGUGGAACCAGGUCUUAUUAGGAAAUGGCAGAGUCAAGGAGCAGUGGUGGUGGCCCACAUCCCCCCACCCCCGCUCAUUACAAGUUUUGCUCCCACCCCAUAUCCUCUGCUGUUCAGCACCACAGGCCUCCUCCUUGUCAUCCCCUUCCUACUGCCCUGCACUCCCUGCAGUUUCUUGCUUUUUCCCUGGGGUCACUUGAGGGCCUCCGCAUGGCGAUUCAGGGCCUGAGAAAGGGCGGUCACAGCUCCCAUCACACGGCCCAGCUCCCAGGUCUCAAUCUGGCUUCGGAAUCGCUGCAGGAAGCGGUCGGGGUGCCAGCGGACCUGCUGGACCCUCAAGUACCUCCUCAGAGCCCCCUGCUCCUCCAAAGGGGGGCCCCUGGCCACCAGAGCUGCAGCCAUGGCCUCCGGGUCCCCUCCCCCAGGGCAGGGCCAGGGUACAUCGCCAAAGCGCCAGAGGCUGCCCCUCCCUGCUCCUCUGGGGUGCUCUGCCCUGGGCCCUGCCCUGGCUGGCUCCUGCACUCGGUCCCCGGGAGCCUCCU